Oncorhynchus tshawytscha (Chinook salmon) is the source of this 4428-nucleotide long non-coding RNA. Lineage: Eukaryota; Metazoa; Chordata; Actinopteri; Salmoniformes; Salmonidae. The record is from Ensembl.
UUGUAUUGUAUUUUAUUUUGUAUUGUGUUGUUUUAUAAAGGAAUAUGCUGGCAAGUAAUGUAUACCCUAAUGUAAUUACAAGUAAUUAGAGAGUAUAAAAUUGGGAAUAAAUGACUACCAUUAUAAUCAUAAUGGAUUAUGAAUAAUAUAUCAAUCGGAGUGCAUCAUAUUUACAAAAUAACAACCGUUAUCAAACCAUGAAUUCAUAAUACAAAUUCCUUUAAACAAUGUCAAUUGCAACACUCUCAGAGCCUAAUAUCAGGAGAAAGUUCAAAAUGUCUGUGGAUGGCCCUUGUAUUGGCAGUAAGGUAAUGGUGCCUCCCUCUUUGGGAGGCAGCAUUACCACUCAUCAGUCAAAUGCAUUGUAAAUUACAGGGCCCGGGUAAUAAAACCAGAUUUGUACAUCACCAGGACUGGAGACUGUCUGUCUUGUAAAUUUAAUUAAACAGCAGGUGCAAAAUCAGGUCAUGUGGCUUUGAUGUGUCCCAUGUGAGAAUGACAAGCAGACAAAGAUUCUAAUAUGGGAAGCAUUUACAUAUUUUUGCAUGUGCACGCGUGUACAAGGGGAGCUGCCGUCACCGUGUAGAGUAUUCCAAUUCGCCCAAAUUAAGAGAGAUUCAAAUUAGCUGUCACCUUCAAUUUCAAUAGCUCGUCGCCAAAAUAAACGGUUAAGCUCUUCAAAAGCAAUCCCUGCUCGUCAAAUGCAGAGUAAACACACAUAUUACCAACAGCUUGUCGAGACGGGAAGAUUUGCACUAAUCAGGUCUUAUAGCAAAUAAAAUAAAAUGUUAUUGGUCGCAUACACAUAUUUAGCAGGUGUAGCAAAAUGCUUGUGGAGCCAUGAACAGGACGACCAUGUCAAUCAGCGCCAUCUUGUCAAGUCUGUGCACGACAACACAGAAAACCUACCUAAAGAAAACACUCAUCAACCAGUGCCUACAAUACAGUAGAAUCACAUUUGAUUUUCCAACCUACUAGUCAGCUCUUAAUAGACUUGAUCCAGAGUGAUGCACAUCCUCUUAUGGAUGAGUGUGACCUGUGACACCGUUCUCUCGCCAUCUCCGUGGCAGAAGACAGACAUCGAUUGAAGUUGACUAGCGAAAUGUCAGCUGCCUGACCUGAUGGCAACACCUUUGCUUGUUUUUGGGAAGAAGUGGUUGAUAAUUACCACCUAGAAUGUAGCCAUCUGUCCCGCUCUUUCAUGACCUGUUAAACUCGCUUUUCAAAAAGUUUACUGGUGACAGAGGGCACGUGACGGAAAAGAGUGUGCACUCAAGCCAGAGCUAAGGAGCUCAUAGAACCAUUACUGUACUGUAGAUACACCAAACAGCUCUAAUAAACUUGAAGUUAUUAUGGGAAAACAAGGAAAGCAGAAGAGGGAAGAAAAGAUGUCAGAAAAGAUUAAAUAUGAAUUUGAAGUAAUAUGCUUACGGGAAUAAGAACCUAAUUCUGUUGAACAGAACAAAUAACUCAACCAAAGCCAACAACCUAGUGUCACCAUGAGUUAAUCAUCGGUUGCUUUCAAUUUCUCCCACACAUUGCCAAUAGUUUGACAUCUACUCUCAUUCCAGAGAAAGUCAGUGAUUUUGCAACUUACAUAAAACCGACUAUCAGCAUUGUCAAUUACAUAUGGGUUUUUCCCCUAGUCUUCAGAGACACCUGUGUUUUCACAGUAAGGAAUCUGCUAUCAACAACAUGCUUGCCCGAUGUCUAUUUAUCUGUCUGUCAGUUUGACAGAGUCUUUGGGAAAUCCUCACUUGUCAGAACUAUUUCUCUCAUGUUUCACUGAGUUUUUAAUGAGAAGCACCAGGCAAAAUCCACAAGCAACGUGAGAGCAGAAGGGGGGGGACAGGUGGAUAGCUGGGAGCUUCGGUAUAACUGAACACCAUGUGGUAUACAUCUCUUUUGAUUACUGCCACAUCCAAUCACACUAAUCAAACACGCAUCAAAGAGCAGAAGUUAUAGACCGAUGACUGAAUGACACAAUGUAAAGACUGGUGCAGUGUGAAAUCUGCCAACACUAUCAUUGGUGGUUUCAAAACAAUGCACAGUGUCCACCCACUCUGCCAAGACGCACUUUGGUGAUGAAAUUUCACUUCCUUAUGUUAUCAAAUACAUUUUACCAAGACAAAUAUGAUUAUUCAUGUCUGAAUCAUUGUGGGGUCUUUCUCUAACAUAUUAGUAUUAUAUCCAAAAAGUUGGAUUUCGUAAUCUAAUACAUACGAUAAUAAGCACCAAGAUCUGUUGACAUCGUGGUACAGGUUUCUCAUAACUUCUAAAGAUGUUACAUUUUGAGGUCAUCGUCUUCCAAGUAGUUAACAGGUCGCAAAAAGCAAAUGAGAAUGAAUUAAAUGUAAAAGACUGAUAAUAAAAAGCUUGGAAUGCUCAGCGUUCAUUUUAUAGAGAUUCAAUCAUUUCUUACAAACAAGCAUAAAAGAACAGGAAUUUCCAAUUCAUAUGAAAAGUGUGUACUAAAAUAUGAAAAUACGUCAUGUCUCAAAAUCGAUAUCCAUCUUAGCUCUAUAUUGUUUUAUGUCCUGCGGAUUGGAGAAGAAAGAUGACCAGUUCAACAGGGAAGUGAGCCUGUCAGGUAGCCAAUAGCCUUAAAUCUGCCACAGAAUCCAGCCUAGCUGACACAAUGCAAUUUUCCACUUUUUUUUACCACUUUUUUCCCCCUCCGGCCUCCAUUGAUUUAGUCACCCGAAUUCUGACCAUCCCACAAGGGUAAAGACUCCAAUAACUCGAACGGGUUAUGAUAGACACGAGGUUUGGACCAUUGGAAUACUUAGAGGAUUAUCUACAGAAUUAACAUACUAUUUAAAAAACACUGCUCGAAAGAUACAUUUUUGAUUGGAACUUGUGUGAAUUCUGAUUUUUUUCCAGUGCCUGAAUAUCACGACUCAGGAUAAGGCCCAUAUGCAGACAGUUCGAAGCACAGUUAUUUAUUGACAAAUCAGGGGACAGACAAAAGACAGGUCAAGAGCAGGCAGGAGGUCAGUAAUCCAGGGCAGAGUCAGUAAGGUACAGAACGGCAGGCAGAGGUCAGUAAUCCAGGGCAGAGUCAGUAAGGUACAGAACGGCAGGCAGGUUCGGGGUUAGGGCAGGCAGAGGUCAGUAAUCCAGGGCAGAGUCAGUAAGGUAAAGAACGGCAGGCAGGCUCGGGGUUAGGGCAGGCAGAGGUCAGUAAUCCAGGGCAGAGUCAGUAAGGUACAGAACGGCAGAAAAAAACCCGACGGUAAGCUUGACGAGACAAGACGAACUGGCAACAGACAAGCAGAAAACACAGGUAUGAAUGCACAGGGGAUAAUGGGGAAAAUGGGCGACACCUGGAGGGGGUGGAGACAAGCACAAGCCAAGUGAAACAGAUCAGGGUGUGACACUAAGGCUAUGCAGCAGUUUGAUAAUGUAGAAUGUGUUUUUUAAAUUUAUUUUACUCUUAAGAUCAAGCCCACAUAGAUCCAUAACCAGGUGUGGUGUUUAGUGGUGUUUCGGGAAGGUGGGAGCUAGAUACAGUAUAUCCAACAUGCUUUUUUGUGACUAUGAACAUUAAGGUGUAAUUGAGCUUUGCAAUGUAACUCGACCCCUUUAAAGAAAAAUACGCAAAUGCUGAGAACUAAAGCUAAACCAGUCAAAAUCCCUCAACUGUAGUUACAUCAUAUGCCUUAUCACACAUGCAGUAGUUACAACAUCUGCCUUAUCCCACAUGCCUUCUCUUGUCCUACAUUCUUGUCCUACAUAUAAUCAAUCUUCCCUUGAAACGAUCUAAGUCAUAAAAUAUGAGUGUUUGCUGAUUGACUCUCCGAUACACAUUUCAAACAUAUUUGUGCAUCUGCAUUCGCCUGCAUUCACUACCAACACAUUCCUCGAGCCUGCUCAGGUCUGAGGGUGUCAGAACAGAUACAGAGAAACAGCUAUUUUUUCACCUGCAGCACAGAACAACAUCUCCACGGAGGCCAGCAGCAGCAGAUAUGUCAUAGCGAGAGAGACAGAGCAGUUGAGAAGGUGAAUGACUGCAGGCGGUCCUCAGAGGGAGAGGUGGAGGGUGGAGCCCCAUGGGUUGGAACAACCCCAUGGAGAGUAGACAUAUCAGCACUAUUGAGUUGUUACACAACAUCUACUGUAGGUCAUGAAUGCACUACCUCUGGUAUUUUAACAUGAACUGGAAAGUUUAGAGGCUCGGUAUGAGGUUGAUAUGAGGUGAAUUUGGUGCAACACAAAAGCAAGAACUUUACAAUUUAGUCAUUUAGCAGAAACUCUUAUCCAGAGUGACUUACAGGAGCAAUUAGUCUUAAGUUCCUUGCUCAAGGGCACAUCGAGAGAGCCUUGUUGGCUCGGGGAUUCAAACCAGUAACCUUUCAAUUAAUGGCCCAAUACUCUAACCACUACCUUCCCCCCCAAUCAAUCCAAUCAGUACUUGGACUGGUAACU